GGGUGGAAGCGAUGAGUUCUCCAGGGGC
This 28-nucleotide non-coding RNA is filed under the name Homo sapiens (human). Lineage: Eukaryota; Metazoa; Chordata; Mammalia; Primates; Hominidae. The record is from RNAcentral.